This is a small nucleolar RNA of Salvia splendens (bonfire salvia), 105 nucleotides long. RefSeq annotates it as small nucleolar RNA Z107/R87. The transcript has a single exon. NCBI's taxonomy places the organism in Eukaryota, Viridiplantae, Streptophyta, Magnoliopsida, Lamiales, Lamiaceae. The record is from RefSeq and is a predicted model, not a curated record.
AAUCGCUGUGAUGACUCGGAAAUUCAAGCUCAACAGACCGGAUUGCUGGUCUCUCUACACAGAGAUGUUGCUAGCAUGUCGAUAAUCCCGCUGAACUGAGCGAUU